GUCGAGGGGCAGCAUGUCUUAGCUUGCUAAGGCGAUGGCGACCGGCGCACGGGUGAGUAACGCGUAUCCACCUGCCUUACACUCUUGGACAGCCUUCUGAAAGGGAGAUUAAUACAAGAUGUUUAAGCAUUCGUAAAGGUUUCCGGUGUAAGAUGGGGAUGCGUUCCAUUAGAUAGUAGGCGGGGUAACGGCCCACCUAGUCUUCGAUGGAUAGGGGUUCUGAGAGGAAGGUCCCCCACAUUGGAACUGAGACACGGUCCAAACUCUACGGGAGGCAGCAGUGAGGAAUAUUGGUCAAUGGACGAGAGUCUGAACCAGCCAAGUAGCGUGAAGGAUGAAGGUUUAUGGAUUGUAAACUUCUUUUAUACGGGAAUAACGAAUCCACGCGUGGAUUUUUGCAUGUACCGUAUGAAUAAGGAUCGGCUAACUCCGUGCCAGCAGCCGCGGUAAUACGGAGGAUCCGAGCGUUAUCCGGAUUUAUUGGGUUUAAAGGGAGCGUAGAUGGGUUGUUAAGUCAGUUGUGAAAGUUUGCGGCUCAACCGUAAAAUUGCAAUUGAUACUGGCAGUCUUGAGUACAGUUGAGGUAGGCGGAAU
RNAcentral lists this ribosomal RNA (594 nucleotides) under uncultured bacterium. Its description in RNAcentral is "bacterial SSU rRNA". It matches the Rfam family "Bacterial small subunit ribosomal RNA", at positions 61 to 667 of the family's 1533-position model. The record is from RNAcentral.